AAGAAUAGCUAAGAUGAAGGAGCCAGGAUCCAAACUCGAAAGCCAAUUACUACGAGGGUUUGGUAGUAUUCUCGAGUGCUUUGUACAAUAUGGGGUAUAAAGUUGAAGCAGCCAAUUAUUUGAAAAAUCAGCUUUGUACUCUCAUAAUUUCAUAUUACUCAAAUGGAAAAUCAACAACAAUUACUUAUGAAGGAGCCAAACAAGGACUUGUUAUUAUUCUUGUCAUUCUAUUCUGCUCCUUAACAUUAUGUAUCGCUUGAGCCGUUUGUUCCUUGUGAAAACUCUGAUUCAUUGCAUUUGUGCCCCUCUCUACAU
Ipomoea triloba (trilobed morning glory) is the source of this 315-nucleotide long non-coding RNA. RefSeq lists it as uncharacterized. The record is from RefSeq and is a predicted model, not a curated record. The transcript is spliced from 3 exons. NCBI's taxonomy places the organism in Eukaryota, Viridiplantae, Streptophyta, Magnoliopsida, Solanales, Convolvulaceae.